Molecule: ribosomal RNA, 554 nt
Filed under: uncultured archaeon
Lineage: Archaea
Description: bacterial SSU rRNA
Rfam family: Archaeal small subunit ribosomal RNA
Source: RNAcentral
CGGGGUGCAGCAGGCGCGAAAACUUUACAAUGCCGGCAACGGCGAUAAGGGAACCUCGAGUGCCAGGUUACAAAUCUGGCUGUCGUGAUGCCUAAAAAGCAUUGCAUAGCAAGGGCCGGGCAAGACCGGUGCCAGCCGCCGCGGUAACACCGGCGGCUCGAGUGGUAACCGUUAUUAUUGGGUCUAAAGGGUCUGUAGCCGGCCGGGUAAGUCUCUUGGGAAAUCUGGCAGCUUAACUGUCAGGCUUUCAGGAGAUACUGCCUGGCUCGAGGCCGGGAGAGGUGAGAGGUACUUCAGGGGUAGGGGUGAAAUCUUGUAAUCCUUGAAGGACCACCAGUGGCGAAGGCGUCUCACCAGAACGGACCUGACGGCAAGGGACGAAAGCUAGGGGCACGAACCGGAUUAGAUACCCGGGUAGUCCUAGCCGUAAACGAUACUCGCUAGGUGUCGGCCACGGUGCGACCGUGGUCGGUGCCGUAGGGAAGCCGUGAAGCGAGCCACCUGGGAAGUACGGCCGCAAGGCUGAAACUUAAAGGAAUUGGCGGGGGAGCACA